RNAcentral lists this ribosomal RNA (253 nucleotides) under uncultured bacterium. RNAcentral describes it as "partial 16S ribosomal RNA". It matches the Rfam family "Bacterial small subunit ribosomal RNA", at positions 524 to 776 of the family's 1533-position model. The record is from RNAcentral.
UACGUAGGGUGCAGGCGUUAAUCGGAAUUACUGGGCGUAAAGCGUGCGCAGGCGGUUUCUUAAGUCAGAUGUGAAAGCCCCGGGCUUAACCUGGGAACUGCGUUUGAAACUGGGAGACUUGAGUGUGGCAGAGGGGGGUGGAAUUCCACGUGUAGCAGUGAAAUGCGUAGAUAUCUGGAGGAACACCGGUGGCGAAGGCGGCAUCCUGGACCAAUUCUGACGCUGAGGAGCGAAAGCCAGGGGAGCAAACGGG